Molecule: ribosomal RNA, 538 nt
Filed under: Retroconis fusiformis
Lineage: Eukaryota; Fungi; Ascomycota
Description: LSU rRNA
Rfam family: Eukaryotic large subunit ribosomal RNA
Source: RNAcentral
GGCGAGUGAAGCGGCAACAGCUCAAAUUUGAAAUCUGGCUUCGGCCCGAGUUGUAAUUUGCAGAGGAAGCUUUGGGCGCGGCACCGACUGAGUCCCCUGGAACGGGGCGCCAUAGAGGGUGAGAGCCCCGUAUAGUCGGACGCUAAGCCUGUGUAAAGCUCCUUCGACGAGUCGAGUAGUUUGGGAAUGCUGCUCAAAAUGGGAGGUAAAUUUCUUCUAAAGCUAAAUACCGGCCAGAGACCGAUAGCGCACAAGUAGAGUGAUCGAAAGAUGAAAAGCACUUUGAAAAGAGGGUUAAAUAGCACGUGAAAUUGUUGAAAGGGAAGCGCUUGUGACCAGACUUGCGCCUGGCUGAUCAUCCGGUGUUCUCACCGGUGCACUCUGCCAGGCUCAGGCCAGCAUCGGUUCUCGCGGGGGGAUAAAGGCCCUGGGAACGUAGCUCCUCCGGGAGUGUUAUAGCCCAGGGUGCAAUGCCCUCGCGGGGACCGAGGUUCGCGCAUCUGCAAGGAUGCUGGCGUAAUGGUCAUCAGCGACCCGU